Molecule: ribosomal RNA, 465 nt
Filed under: uncultured bacterium
Lineage: Bacteria
Description: partial 16S ribosomal RNA
Rfam family: Bacterial small subunit ribosomal RNA
Source: RNAcentral
GACGAACGCUGGCGGCGUGCUUAACACAUGCAAGUCGAACGGAAAGGCCCUGCUUGCAGGGUACUCGAGUGGCGAACGGGUGAGUAACACGUGGGUGAUCUGCUCUGCACUUCGGGAUAAGCCUGGGAAACUGGGUCUAUUCCCGGAUAGGAGCCAUUUUUAGUGUGAUGGUUGGUAAGUUUUUUCGGUGUAGGAUGAGCUCGCGGCCUAUCAGCUUGUUGGUGGGGUAAUGGCCUACCAAGGCGGCGACGGGUAGCCGGCCUGAGAGGGUGGACGGCCACAUUGGGACUGAGGUACGGCCCAGACUCCUACGAGAGGCAGCAGUGGGGAAUAUUGCACAAUGGGCGCAGGCCUGAUGCAGCGACGCCGCGUGUGGGAUGACGGCCUUCGGGUUGUAAACGCCUUUCGCUAGGGACGAAGCUUUUUGUGACGGUACCUAGAUAAGAAGCACCGGCUAACUACGUG